CCCCUACCAUCUCUCCUUUUAUCACCUGAAAACUUCAUGGAAACCACCAUAAAUUUUCAAUAAACCAACCAGCAAAAUUCGUUCUUGGUGAAACUCAAGUUGCUCAUCUAUUUUGUGGUGAUGAAGUACAGGGCAGGUGCUGCCCAGAUUUUCUAUUUUACAAACCCUCCUUGUACUACUGUUAGUAAUGUACGGGAUGGAAUUUGAAGACGGCCUUAUGAAGUAGUCUUUUUGGGAGCACUUAUAGAGAUCACAUUUGCAUAUGCACCAUGGUUUUGUAUAGUUUUGGGACUUGUACAUGAUAUAUAUGUCAUUCUUAUGUAUAUUAUUUGGAGGCUUGGAUAUUAAGACCAAAAUCUUGUAACUUGAAUUUGGUAACUUAUUUUGCUGUUUUAAGGUGUGUUAAUAACUCAAGUCUUGUAAUAUGUUAAAUUUACACUUUGUCUUAUAUAUAUGUAC
Nicotiana tabacum (common tobacco) is the source of this 459-nucleotide non-coding RNA. The record is from RefSeq and is a predicted model, not a curated record. NCBI's taxonomy places the organism in Eukaryota, Viridiplantae, Streptophyta, Magnoliopsida, Solanales, Solanaceae.